GACGAACGCUGGCGGCGUGCUUAACACAUGCAAGUCGAACGGAAAGGCCCUGCUUUUGUGGGGUGCUCGAGUGGCGAACGGGUGAGUAACACGUGAGUAACCUGCCCUUGACUUUGGGAUAACUUCAGGAAACUGGGGCUAAUACCGGAUAGGAGCUCCUGCUGCAUGGUGGGGGUUGGAAAGUUUCGGCGGUUGGGGAUGGACUCGCGGCUUAUCAGCUUGUUGGUGGGGUAGUGGCUUACCAAGGCUUUGACGGGUAGCCGGCCUGAGAGGGUGACCGGCCACAUUGGGACUGAGAUACGGCCCAGACUACUACGGGAGGCAGCAGUGGGGAAUAUUGCACAAUGGGCGGAAGUCUGAUGCAGCAACGCCGCGUGCGGGAUGACGGCCUUCGGGUUGUAAACCGCUUUCGCCUGUGACGAAGCGUGAGUGACGGUAAUGGGUAAAGAAGCACCGGCUAACUACGUG
RNAcentral lists this ribosomal RNA (468 nucleotides) under uncultured bacterium. RNAcentral describes it as "partial 16S ribosomal RNA". It matches the Rfam family "Bacterial small subunit ribosomal RNA", at positions 28 to 507 of the family's 1533-position model. The record is from RNAcentral.